UACGGAGGGUGCAAGCGUUAUCCGGAUUCACUGGGUUUAAAGGGUGUGUAGGCGGGCUGUUAAGUCAGUGGUGAAAUCUCCGGGCUCAACCCGGAAACUGCCGUUGAUACUAAUAGUCUUGAAUCUUGUUGAGGUAGGCGGAAUAUAUCAUGUAGCGGUGAAAUGCAUAGAUAUGAUAUAGAACACCGAUUGCGAAGGCAGCUUACUAAACAAGCAUUGACGCUGAGGCACGAAAGCGUGGGGAUCAAACAGGAUUAGAUACCCCCGUAGUCC
Molecule: ribosomal RNA, 273 nt
Filed under: uncultured bacterium
Lineage: Bacteria
Description: partial 16S ribosomal RNA
Rfam family: Bacterial small subunit ribosomal RNA
Source: RNAcentral